Molecule: non-coding RNA, 72 nt
Organism: Trichonephila inaurata madagascariensis
Lineage: Eukaryota; Metazoa; Arthropoda; Arachnida; Araneae; Nephilidae
Source: the annotation of a GenBank genome assembly
AUCCCUGUAACGUAAUGGUAACACGUUGGACUUCCAAUCCAAAAGUUGUGGGUUCGCAUCCCACCUGGGAUG